GAGAUCCCUGCGAAAUGACAGU
Molecule: microRNA, 22 nt
Filed under: Gallid alphaherpesvirus 2
Lineage: Duplodnaviria; Heunggongvirae; Peploviricota; Herviviricetes; Herpesvirales; Orthoherpesviridae
Description: mdv1-miR-M6-3p
Gene: mdv1-miR-M6-3p
Source: miRBase by way of RNAcentral